RNAcentral lists this long non-coding RNA (332 nucleotides) under Mytilus galloprovincialis (Mediterranean mussel). The record is from RNAcentral. Lineage: Eukaryota; Metazoa; Mollusca; Bivalvia; Mytilida; Mytilidae.
CGAGGUUUGCCGAGCAAUAGUUGACGAAUAUAAAGAUGAGGUGUCUGUGUUGUUUCCGUAAAAUAUUCUUAUAAAUGAGAAAUAGAAGGAAUGAAACAGUAUUUAUAUGGAGUUCGGUGCUGACGUUAUUGUUGAGAGCGUAGUAAGAUCGCGGUAUGAGCGUGGUAUGGUCGUAGUAAGGUCGUGGGACGAGCGUGCUAUAAUCGCAGUAGAAGCGUUGUAAGAUCGUGUUGCAAUCGCAUAAAUCGUGGUAUGGUCGUAGUGAGAACGUGAAGAGCGUAGAAAGGUCUUGAUAGGCGUAGUGAGGUCGCAGAAUAAGCGUGGUGAGAACG